AUUGAACGCUGGCGGAAUGCUUUACACAUGCAAGUCGAACGGCAGCACGGACUUCGGUCUGGUGGCGAGUGGCGAACGGGUGAGUAAUGUAUCGGAACGUGCCCAGUCGUGGGGAUACCGUAGUGAAAAUUACGAUAAUACCGCAUACGAUCUAUGGAUGAAAGCGGGGGAUCGCAAGACCUCGCGCGAUUGGAGCGGCCGAUAUCAGAUUAGGUAGUUGGUGGGGUAAAGGCCCACCAAGCCAACGAUCUGUAGCUGGUCUGAGAGGACGACCAGCCACACUGGAACUGAGACACGGUCCAGACUCCUACGGGAGGCAGCAGUGGGGAAUUUUGGACAAUGGGCGAAAGCCUGAUCCAGCCAUUCCGCGUGCAGGAUGAAGGCCCUCGGGUUGUAAACUGCAUUUGUACAGAACGAAAAGGUUUCUACUAAUACUAGGAGCUCAUGACGGUACUGUAAGAAUAAGCACCGGCUAACUACGUGCCAGCAGCCGCAGUAA
Molecule: ribosomal RNA, 499 nt
Filed under: uncultured bacterium
Lineage: Bacteria
Description: partial 16S ribosomal RNA
Rfam family: Bacterial small subunit ribosomal RNA
Source: RNAcentral